CCCUAGUAACUGCGAGUGAAGCGGGAAAAGCUCAAAUUUAAAAGCUGGCGGUCUUAGGCCGUCCGCGUUGUAAUCUAGAGAAGUGUUAUCCGCGCUGGACCGUGUACAAGUCUCCUGGAAUGGAGCGUCAUAGAGGGUGAGAAUCCCGUCUUUGACACGGACUGCCAGGGCUUUGUGAUGCGCUCUCAAAGAGUCGAGUUGUUUGGGAAUGCAGCUCAAAAUGGGUGGUAAAUUCCAUCUAAAGCUAAAUAUUGGCGAGAGACCGAUAGCGAACAAGUACCGUGAGGGAAAGAUGAAAAGAACUUUGGAAAGAGAGUUAAACAGUACGUGAAAUUGCUGAAAGGGAAACGCUUGAAGUCAGUCGCGUUUGCCAGGGAUCAACCUCGCUUUUUGCUGGGCGUACUCUCUGGUUGACGGGCCAGCAUCAAUUUUGGUCACUGGAAAAAUUCCAAGGGAAUGUGGCAUCUUCGGAUGUGUUAUAGCCUUUGGUUGCAUGCAGUGGCUGGGAUUGAGGAACUCAGCACGCCGAAAGGCAGGGUCUUUGACCACAUUCGUGCUUAGGAUGCUGGCAUAAUGGCUUUAAUCGACCCGUCUUGAAACACGGACCAAGGAGUCUAACAUGCCUGCGAGUGUUUGGGUGGAAAACCCGAGCGCGUAAUGAAAGUGAAAGUUGAGAUCCCUGUCGCGGGGAGCAUCGACGCCCGGACCAGAGCUUUUGUGACGGAUCUGCGGUAGAGCAUGUAUGUUGGGACCC
RNAcentral lists this ribosomal RNA (754 nucleotides) under Galerina sphagnorum. RNAcentral describes it as "eukaryotic LSU rRNA". It matches the Rfam family "Eukaryotic large subunit ribosomal RNA", at positions 78 to 817 of the family's 3401-position model. The record is from RNAcentral. Lineage: Eukaryota; Fungi; Basidiomycota; Agaricomycetes; Agaricales; Galerinaceae.